UACGUAGGGGGCAAGCGUUGUCCGGAUUUAUUGGGCGUAAAGAGCGUGUAGGCGGCCUUACAGGUCAGCUGUGAAAACUCGAGGCUCAACCUCGAGACGUCGGUUGAAACCGUAUGGCUAGAGUCCGGAAGAGGAGAGUGGAAUUCCCGGUGUAGCGGUGAAAUGCGCAGAUAUCGGGAAGAACACCUAUGGCGAAGGCAGCUCUCUGGGACGGUACUGACGCUGAGACGCGAAAGCGUGGGGAGCGAACAGG
This 253-nucleotide ribosomal RNA is filed under the name uncultured bacterium. Its description in RNAcentral is "partial 16S ribosomal RNA". It matches the Rfam family "Bacterial small subunit ribosomal RNA", at positions 524 to 776 of the family's 1533-position model. The record is from RNAcentral.